UCAUUUUUUUUUUCCUCCUCUGAGUGGGCCCUGCUGCCAUGUCAUCGACGUCUUCAAGAAUCAGACGGAGAGACAGCGUACGUUUUCCGUUUCUCCCGUUUCAUCUCGAUUUGAUUGCGGGCGAUUUAAGUCACCAUUUGACGCACCGUUUCUUCCUACUUAAGCCCCAGAUUCUCCUCUCUAUUUACCCUCAUACGUCACACCAAGAGAGCCACCAGGCUGCUCCAAUUUAACCUCGCAAGUUCACGGUACCGGCGACUUCCCGGGACGAUUGCGUGACGACGUUAUAUUUCGACUGUAGUCUCCGGCGAGCGAUUUCCGGCGAACUACUGCACCACGACGUCCGCAACUUCGCCAUCGAGUUCCCUUUGCGAAGACGAACUCCGUUGUCUGCUACACCAUCGCCAACAAGCACGGGGACAUUAAUCGCAGCGACCACGCGACGACAUUCCAGUGACCUGUGUGUUUCCCUACGCCCCCGGCGAGCGUUUUUUCCAUCCGGACGGCGUAAUUCGGCCCAGUCGUGCCCCCGGUUCCUUAUUUUCGUCCGGAUUUGGCCCUUCAUCCAUCCGGCGAGCCCACGCCAUCCCCGGCCCCCCGGGAGCGCUCGGGGACUCCGGACGAAACGAAAGCGCGCGUGGCCCCAACUUGUCGGCGACCCUCGUCUUCCCGAUCUACGGCAAUACCCUCGUCUUCCCGAUCUACGUCAAUACCCUCGUCUUCCCGAUCUACGGCAAUACCCUCGUCGAACGAAAGCUUUGAACUC
This is a long non-coding RNA of Lolium perenne, 766 nucleotides long. RefSeq lists it as uncharacterized. The record is from RefSeq and is a predicted model, not a curated record. Lineage: Eukaryota; Viridiplantae; Streptophyta; Magnoliopsida; Poales; Poaceae.